AAAAACAAACAAGGGAAUACGGGGAAUGCCUAGGCUCUGCAAGGCGAAGAAGGACGUGAUAAGCUGCGAAAAGCCGCGGGGAGGUGCAAAUAACCGAUAAUCCGCGGAUAUCCGAAUGGGGCAACCCACCAUAUAAAUGGUACCUCGAAACGAGGAGCGAACCCUCUGAACUGAAACAUCUAAGUAAGAGGAGGAAGAGAAAACAACAGUGAUACCGCAAGUAGUGGCGAGCGAACGCGGCACAGCCCAAACCGGACACGUUUAGGCGUAUCCGGGGUAGUAGGACUGCGAGAUACAAGUAUAAAAAGAACCGGAACGGCAUGGAAAGGCCGUCCGUAGAAGGUGAAAGACCCGUACGGGCAAUUUUUAUACGCGUUAGCAGUAUCCUGAGUAGGUCGGGGCACGAGAAACCCAGACUGAAACCGGCGGGACCACCCGCCAAGGCUAAACACUCAGCAGAGACCGAUAGUGAACAAGUACCGUGAGGGAAAGGUGAAAAGAACCUUGAAUAAAGGAGUGAAAAAGACCCUGAAACCGUAUGCCUACAAGCGGUCGGAGCCCAUUUAUUGGGUGACGGCGUGCCUUUUGCAUAAUGAUCCUACGAGUUACUGUUACCGGCAAGGUUAAGCGCUUCAGGCGCGUAAGCCGCAGCGAAAGCGAGUCUUAAAAGGGCGAAUUAGUCGGUAGUAGUAGACGCGAAACCUUGUGAUCUACCCAUGGCCAGGUUGAAGUGGGGGUAACACCCCAUGGAGGACCGAAUCGGUAAGCGUUGAAAAGCUUUCGAAUGAGCUGUGGGUAGGGGUGAAAGGCCAAUCAAACUGGGAAAUAGCUCGUACUCCCCGAAAUGCAUUUAGGUGCAGCGUCGCGGUUAAGUGAUAUAUAGGUAGAGCUACUGAUUGAAUGCGGGGGCUUCACCGCCUACCAAUUUCAGACAAACUCCGAAUAGUAUAUCACAUACGCGGCAGUGAGGGCAUGGGUGCUAAGGUCCAUGCCCGAGAGGGAAACAACCCGGACCAACAGCUAAGGUCCCCAAAUAUACGCUAAGUUGAAAAAACGAAGUAGAACUGCACAGACAGCCAGGAAGUUGGCUUGGAAGCAGCCAUUCUUUUAAAGAGUGCGUAACAGCUCACUGGUCGAGCGGUUCUGCAUGGAGAAUAAGCGGGCAUAAGCGUAUUACCGAAGCUAUGGCAGAUAACAAUCUGGGUAGGGGAGCAUUCCGUACAGCGCAGAAUCGGUAUUGUAAAGUACCGUGGAGCGUACGGAAAAGCAAAUGUAGGAAUAAGUAACGAUAAAGCGGGCGAGAAACCCGCUCACCGAAAGACCAAGGGUUCCCCGGCUAUGUUAAUCAGCCGGGGGUCAGUCGGGCCCUAAGGACAAGCCGAAAACAGGCUACUCCGAUGGACAAACGUUUAAUAUUACGUUACUCGUAUCGAGUGCGACGGGGCGACCUGGUAAUACCUCUUCGCGUGCUGACGGAAUAGCACGUUAAAGACUUUACUGGGCCGGGAGGCAAAUCCCCCGGCGGAAAGGUAAAGUUGAUAGUACACCCAAGCUACGGCGACGGUGAUAGCAAGACUAAAGAUCAGCAAGAAAAACCUCUAAGCUUCAGCUCGAUACGACCCGUACCGGAAACCGACACAGGUGGUCGAGAAGAGAAUUCUAAGGUGCUCGAGAGAUUCAUGGUUAAGGAACUAGGCAAAAUAGUCCUGUAACUUCGGGAAAAAGGUCACCGCAGCAAUGCGGUCUCAGAAAAUAGGUCCAGGCGACUGUUUAACAAAAACACAGGACUUUGCAAAAUCGAAAGAUGACGUAUAAGGUCUGACACCUGCCCGGUGCUGGAAGGUUAAGAGGAGAUGUCCGCAGCAAUGCAAAGCAUUGAAUUGAAGCCCCAGUAAACGGCGGCCGUAACUAUAACGGUCCUAAGGUAGCGAAAUUCCUUGUCGGGUA
Molecule: ribosomal RNA, 1947 nt
Filed under: human gut metagenome
Description: bacterial LSU rRNA
Rfam family: Bacterial large subunit ribosomal RNA
Source: RNAcentral